CGGAGGAAGGUGGGGAUGACGUCAAGUCAUCAUGGCCCUUAUGUCCAGGGCUACACACGUGCUACAAUGGACGGUACAGAACGAUGCGAAACCGCGAGGCGAAGCAAAUCGGCGAAAACCGUUCGUAGUUCGGAUUGGAGUCUGAAACCCGACUCCAUGAAGUUGGAAUCGCUAGUAAUCGCGCAUCAGCACGGCGCGGUGAAUACGUUCCCGGGCCUU
RNAcentral lists this ribosomal RNA (219 nucleotides) under uncultured Treponema sp. RNAcentral's name for it is "partial 16S ribosomal RNA". It matches the Rfam family "Bacterial small subunit ribosomal RNA", at positions 1164 to 1382 of the family's 1533-position model. Lineage: Bacteria; Pseudomonadati; Spirochaetota; Spirochaetia; Treponematales; Treponemataceae. The record is from RNAcentral.